AUUGAACGCUGGCGGCAUGCCUUACACAUGCAAGUCGAACGGCAGCAUGAUCUCGCUUGCUAGAUUGAUGGCGAGUGGCGAACGUGUGAGUAAUACAUCGGAACGUGCCCUGUAGCGGGGGAUAACUAGUCGAAAGAUUAGCUAAUACCGCAUACGACCUGAGGGUGAAAGUGGGGGACCGCAAGGCCUCAUGCUAUAGGAUCGGCCGAUGUCUGAUUAGCUAGUUGGUGAGGUAAAGGCUCACCAAGGCGACGAUCAGUAGCUGGUCUGAGAGGACGAUCAGCCACACUGGGACUGAGACACGGCCCAGACUCCUACGGGAGGCAGCAGUGGGGAAUUUUGGACAAUGGGCGAAAGCCUGAUCCAGCAAUGCCGCGUGUGUGAAGAAGGCCUUCGGGUUGUAAAGCACUUUUGUCCGGAAAGAAAAGGCUCUGGUUAAUACCUGGGGUCGAUGACGGUACCGGAAGAAUAAGGACCGGCUAACUACGUG
RNAcentral lists this ribosomal RNA (490 nucleotides) under uncultured bacterium. RNAcentral's name for it is "partial 16S ribosomal RNA". It matches the Rfam family "Bacterial small subunit ribosomal RNA", at positions 30 to 507 of the family's 1533-position model. The record is from RNAcentral.